GUGUAUCUCGCUUAGAUGCUUAUAGACUUUUAACAGGAGGUGAACUCAGUGACGAUGUCAUCGAUGCAUUUGUUAUUCGACUUUGUUAUAAGAUUGAGACAACUAAUAGUUAUGAUCGAAAAAUACAUGUUACGAGACCUUGGCUUGCACAAGCAUUUCUGAAAGGAAAUAUUGAAAUGAUGGCAAAACGAAUGAAGGAAAAUGUUUCUCAGCAGAAGUUUUGUGAGUGUGAAA
This is a long non-coding RNA of Asparagus officinalis (garden asparagus), 234 nucleotides long. RefSeq lists it as uncharacterized. Lineage: Eukaryota; Viridiplantae; Streptophyta; Magnoliopsida; Asparagales; Asparagaceae. The transcript is spliced from 3 exons. The record is from RefSeq and is a predicted model, not a curated record.